This 233-nucleotide ribosomal RNA is filed under the name uncultured bacterium. Its description in RNAcentral is "partial 16S ribosomal RNA". It matches the Rfam family "Bacterial small subunit ribosomal RNA", at positions 102 to 334 of the family's 1533-position model. The record is from RNAcentral.
CACGGGUGAGUAACACGUAUCCAACCUGCCGUCUACUCUUGGACAGCCUUCUGAAAGGAAGAUUAAUACAAGAUGGCAUCAUGAGUCCGCAUGUUCACAUGAUUAAAGGUAUUCCGGUAGACGAUGGGGAUGCGUUCCAUUAGAUAGUAGGCGGGGUAACGGCCCACCUAGUCUUCGAUGGAUAGGGGUUCUGAGAGGAAGGUCCCCCACAUUGGGACUGAGACACGGUCCAA